Molecule: ribosomal RNA, 809 nt
Filed under: Hepatozoon felis
Lineage: Eukaryota; Apicomplexa; Hepatozoidae
Description: SSU rRNA
Rfam family: Eukaryotic small subunit ribosomal RNA
Source: RNAcentral
UAUUCUGGAAGAGAUGCAUCUAUUAGAUAAAAAACCAAUACAUACUUUUUCAAGUAUGAAAUUUGGUGAUUUACAAUAACUUAGCAAAUCGCAUAGUGAAAACAGGCGAUAAAUCAUUCAAGUUUCUGACCUAUCAGCUUUCGACGGUAUGGUAUUGGCUUACCGUGGCAGUGACGGUUAACGGGGGAUUAGGGUUCGAUUCCGGAGAGGGAGCCUGAGAAACGGCUACCACAUCUAAGGAAGGCAGCAGGCGCGCAAAUUACCCAAUUCUAACAGCAUAAGAGAGGUAGUGACAAGAAAUAACAAUACAAGGCAGUUAAAAUGCUUUGUAAUUGGAAUGAUAGAAAUUUAAACACUUUUUAAAGUAUCAAUUGGAGGGCAAGUCUGGUGCCAGCAGCCGCGGUAAUUCCAGCUCCAAUAGCGUAUAUUAAAAUUGUUGCAGUUAAAAAGCUCGUAGUUGAAUUUCUGUUAAAAAUAACCGGUCUGCUUUUAAUAAAAGUGGUAUCUUGGUGUGUUUUUAGCAAUAAUGUCCUUUGAAAUGUUUUUUACUUUAUUGUAAUAAAUAAUAUUCAGGAUUUUUACUUUGAGAAAAUUAGAGUGUUUCUAGCAGGCUAACGCUUUGAAUACUGCAGCAUGGAAUAAUAAAAUAGGAUUUUAGUUCUACAUUAUUGGUUUUAAGAACUAAAUUAAUGAUUGAUAGGGACAGUUGGGGGCAUUUGUAUUUAACUGUCAGAGGUGAAAUUCUUAGAUUUGUUAAAGACAAACUACUGCGAAAGCAUUUGCCAAAGAUGUUUUCAUUAAUCAAGAAC